UAAUACCGCAUACGGCCUAAGGGAGAAAGCGGGGGAUCUUCGGACCUCGCGCUAUAGGGGCGGCCGAUGGCAGAUUAGCUAGUUGGUGGGGUAAAGGCCUACCAAGGCGACGAUCUGUAGCUGGUCUGAGAGGACGACCAGCCACACUGGGACUGAGACACGGCCCAGACUCCUACGGGAGGCAGCAGUGGGGAAUUUUGGACAAUGGGGGAAACCCUGAUCCAGCAAUGCCGCGUGUGUGAAGAAGGCCUUCGGGUUGUAAAGCACUUUUGUCCGGAAAGAAAACCUCUUGGAUAAUACCUGAGGGGGAUGACGGUACCGGAAGAAUAAGCACCGGCUAACUACGUGCCAGCAGCCGCGGUAACACGUAGGGUGCGAGCGUUAAUCGGAAUUACUGGGCGUAAAGCGUGCGCAGGCGGUUUGUUAAGACAGAUGUGAAAUCCCCGGGCUUAACCUGGGAACUGCAUUUGUACUGGCAAGCUAGAGUAGGC
This 491-nucleotide ribosomal RNA is filed under the name uncultured Burkholderia sp. RNAcentral describes it as "bacterial SSU rRNA". It matches the Rfam family "Bacterial small subunit ribosomal RNA", at positions 164 to 651 of the family's 1533-position model. The record is from RNAcentral. Lineage: Bacteria; Pseudomonadati; Pseudomonadota; Betaproteobacteria; Burkholderiales; Burkholderiaceae.